UGAGGAACAUGACCUUCGGCGGGGGAUAGCCGGCCCAACGGCCGGGUAAUACCGCGUACGACCACAUGGGGACAUCCCUGAGUGGUGAAAGCAGCAAUGCGCCGAUGGAGUGCCUCGCGGCCUAUCAGCUAGUUGGUGAGGUAACGGCUCACCAAGGCAACGAUGCGUAGCCGACCUGAGGAGGGUGAUCGGCCACAUUGGAACUGAGACACGGUCCAGACCUGUACGGGAGG
This 233-nucleotide ribosomal RNA is filed under the name uncultured bacterium. RNAcentral's name for it is "partial 16S ribosomal RNA". It matches the Rfam family "Bacterial small subunit ribosomal RNA", at positions 118 to 347 of the family's 1533-position model. The record is from RNAcentral.